RNAcentral lists this unclassified non-coding RNA (489 nucleotides) under Borreliella burgdorferi (Lyme disease spirochete). Its description in RNAcentral is "partial 16S-23S ribosomal RNA intergenic spacer". The stretch from base 126 to 199 matches the Rfam family "tRNA". Lineage: Bacteria; Pseudomonadati; Spirochaetota; Spirochaetia; Spirochaetales; Borreliaceae. The record is from RNAcentral.
UCUUUUCUUUUGAUAGGAGAGUUUUUAAAACCAGUGUUAUUUUUGUAAGUUUAAGAGAAGUUUGUGUAUUGAAUUUUUAAUAUUAAAGAGCUUUGUUAAACUUAGACUUAAGUUUAGGUCAUUUUGGGGGUUUAGCUCAGUUGGCUAGAGCAUCGGCUUUGCAAGCCGAGGGUCAAGGGUUCGAGUCCCUUAACCUCCAUUGGGCUUAUGUCCUAAAUUGUAAUUAAGUAUGUUUUUAAGCAACUUUAUUAAAGUAAUUGUUGGAAUGUGAAACAGAGGAAGUUAAAAUUUCUGGGUUAAGUUGAGAUCUGUUGAUAUUAAGAAGAAUCUCUAGAAGCAAAAGCAAGCUUUCGAUAAAACCCGAAGUUGUUUCGCUAAAGUGCAAGGAUUAAACAGGAUUGUAUUUUCCAGCAGCCUAUUUUAUAAACGAUCUGCAUUUAGUAAAUAGUUUUUAGUUAGGAAAUAAUGUAUAUUGCUAAGUGUGAUGUC